This 307-nucleotide ribosomal RNA is filed under the name uncultured beta proteobacterium E5_pH4/50/FL. RNAcentral describes it as "bacterial SSU rRNA". It matches the Rfam family "Bacterial small subunit ribosomal RNA", at positions 202 to 490 of the family's 1533-position model. Lineage: Bacteria; Pseudomonadati; Pseudomonadota; Betaproteobacteria. The record is from RNAcentral.
AAAAGCAGGGGAUCGCAAGACCUUGCGCUCUUGGAGCGGCCGAUGUCUGAUUAGCUAGUUGGUGAGGUAAAGGCUUACCAAGGCGACGAUCAGUAGCUGGUCUGAGAGGACGACCAGCCACACUGGGACUGAGACACGGCCCAGACUCCUACGGGAGGCAGCAGUGGGGAAUUUUGGACAAUGGGGGAAACCCUGAUCCAGCCAUGCCGCGUGAGUGAAGAAGGCCUUCGGGUUGUAAAGCUCUUUCAGCCGGAACGAAACGGUCACGGUUAAUACCCNNGACUACUGACGGUACCGGAAGAAGAAG